This is a long non-coding RNA of Oncorhynchus tshawytscha (Chinook salmon), 1394 nucleotides long. The record is from Ensembl. NCBI's taxonomy places the organism in Eukaryota, Metazoa, Chordata, Actinopteri, Salmoniformes, Salmonidae.
CCUGUCUCUGUGUUAGUUGUCACAAGACUAACGCCGUUACAGAACCCCAACUCUUGGCAUUCUUCUCAGAAAGGGGCAUCACCUGCAGGUUCAUCCCCAAGCGAGCAGCCUGGUAGGUCAGAUUCUGGGAAAGACUUGUCAGGUCAGUGAAAACAUUCCUGAGAAAGCUUUUCCAAGAACCUUCGCUCAACUUUUAAGAAAUGUGCACAGUCCUGACAGAGGUUGAAGCUAUCCUACAUUCUAGGCCUCUGACUUUCGUGCACAAUGAAGUGGAUGAACCACAACCCCUGACACCAGCACACUUCCUGGUGGGUAAAAGACUAACCUCUUUGCCGACAAAGCCAUUUCUGUCUGACACUCAGCACCCAACGCUUAACAAGGAGGAAAUGACAAGCAGAUGGAAGUACAGGCAAAGACGUGUGACAAGCUUCUGGAACAGCUGGGGAAGAGACUACUUGCUGGAUCUAAAGUCAGCACACCACUGUGACACACCACAGCCCAACCCACUUAAAGUGGGUGACGUUGAACUCAUCAGAGAAGAUAACACACCCAGACGAACCUGGCAACUAGGGAAGAUGGAGGAACUGUUUCCAGGCCAAGAUGACCUAGUUAGGUCAUGAUCAGUUGGUACAGCCUCUCUCAGCCUAUUGUGGACAGUCUGAGCACUGAUGGAGGGAUUGUGCAUUCCUGGUGUAAAUCGGGCAGUUGUUGUUGCCAUCCGGUACCUGUCCCGCAGGUGUGAUGUUCGGAUGUACCGAUCCUGUGCAGGUCUUGUUACACGUGGUCUGCCACUGUGAGGACAACCAGCUCUCCAUUCUCGCACUGUCUCCCUGUAGCUCUGCCUUAGGCGUCUUACAGUAUGGACAUUGCAAUUUAUUGCCCUGGCCACAUCUGAAGUCCUCAUGCCUCCUUGCAGCAUGCCUAAGGCACAUUCACGCAGAUUAGCAGGGACGCUGGGCAUAUUUCUUUUGGUGUUUUUCAGAGUCAGUAGAAAGGCCUCUUUAGUGUCCUAAAUUUUCAUAACUGUGACCUUAAUUGCCUACAGUCUGUAAAUUGUUAGUGUCUUAAUGACUGUUCCACAGGUGCAUGUUCAUUAAUUGUUUAUGGUUCAUUGAACAAGCAUGGGAAACAGUGUUUAAACCCUCUACAAUGAAGAUCUGUGAAGUUAUUUGGAUUUAUCUUUGAAAGACAGGGUCCUGAAAAAGGGACGUUUGUUUUUUUGCUGAGUUUAUUUGUUUUAUUGGUUAGUAUUGGAUUACACUACUGACUACAAGUACCAGAAUGCCUUGUGACAGGAAGUAAGAAAAAACUAACGAGAAAGCACCAGUCUUGUGAUUAUCCUGGCUUUCGCUAUAAACUUUAUUUUAUUGUUUUGCAGAAUCUAAAGUGAUAAA